GGCGCGUCGUGACGCGACCGCGGCGAAGCAGCUGAGUGUGUGCGCCUCGAACUCCGUUGUACUGUAUCAAGUUAACUGAAUUUGACACAGUGGUGAGGAACUGCGAUGAGGCUGACUGUGAGGCGUCUGGUGGUGGGUGUGGCUGUCAGUGCUGCCACCUGCGGCCUGCUGCUGCUGUGUGUCAGUAGAGGGAAGCCCGUGCAGGACACACACCGGCACCUGAUAGAGGCAGAAAUAGAGAACAUUCAGCGAAUAAGAAGAAUAGAGGAAGUAUGUUAUAAGCACAAUCUUGGCUUGUAUAAACACACAGAUGAUCCACCAAAAUUAAUACAUCCACCUGCUCCACAGUAUGGCGUAUUCUACAUUGACAGAAAACACAAUAUAUCAUGGUGUCCCUUAUAUAAAGCAGCAUCCACGACGUGGUUAUAUCACUUGUGCUUAUUGGCUGGAUAUUCAGAGGAGCAGAUAGUGAAAAGCCACAGGCAACUAAGUGAAAUUGCCAGAGAAGCUUACCCAGAGCUGGACUAUGAAGAUGCCGAAAAGGCAUUCUUGACAACACUAAAGUUAUUAGUUGUUCGUCAUCCAUUCUCAAGAAUUCUGUCUGCUUAUCGUGAUAAACUUGAGAAUAUGCAAAUUGGUGCUGAGCAUGGAACGAAACAUUACUACCUGAGCUACGGAAGACAAAUAGUAGCCCGUUACCGACACGGAGGAAACUCGACUAAAACUAUGAGACUACUGAAUCCAGGGCAGUACAUGAGAGAUGCUGCACUACCAGAGCCUGUUGGCAUUGAACCAACAUUUGAGGAAUUUGUAAGGUACCUCCUGGACACUGACCUUUCACAGCGGGCCGACGACCACUGGAUCCCCUACUACUUGUACUGCACUCCGUGCCUCCUGAAAUAUGACGUGGUGGCUAAAGUGGAGACACUGGUGCGUGACCAGGAGUUCGCCCUCCGCAGAGCAGGACUGUGGGGCCUCGUGAAGCCACAGUGGAGGCACAGAGCAGCUGUAGGGGGUGGGGCGGAGGCUGAGAGGAGGUACUUCUCACAGCUGACAAAGGUGCAAGUUGAAAGACUGUACGAGAAAUACUGGCUCGAUUUUGAACUGUUUGAUUACUCUCCAGAGAAGUAUGUCAGCUAUGCUAGAUCACAAUAACUGUUACAAGAAAGAAAUGCUCUCCCCAAUAUUUGAUGUUGCUGACUUUUUGCAAAAUGCAACCAGCAGCAACAAAAAUAAAACAUUCUGCCACAAAAUUUAGACUCUCUUUAAUUGUACGAGGUUAUUCACAAAUACCUCCCGAGUUUCAGAAAAGAACUGUGUGAAAGCUACAAAAAGUACAGAAAAUAGACACAAAUGAGUGUAUAGAGGAUCUCUCUGAGUUUUAACACACUUUACAAGGUGCUCAGUAGCAGCAUCAUUUCUGACACAGCAAAUGUCUAUAUGAUAAUCCAAAUAUUGGCAAAUGCAAUACAAAAUGACACAGUCAAUAUCUGUCUCUCCAUUAAUUAUUCUUCUUAGAAACUCUUCCAAAUUAAAUGCCAGUGGCAGCAAAGUCACACAAUAUUUGAAAUAACCCCAUAAAAAGAAAUCACAUGGAGUGAAGUCAGGUAAACAUCAUUGCUACUGAAGAAGAGGAGUCACAAUGGGAAACAUGCUCGAUCAGGUGCUGAAGCAUUUUGGCAUUAAGGUGAUCACACUUGUGUGUAAUGCAGCAGACAGUUGACUGUGGUACCUGCAGUUCCCUGCUUGCAUGUGUUGUUGACUUCUGCCACCUCCCAAUGAGUGACUUCUGCACACGCUCUGCCUUCUCUGCCGACGCUCCAUUAUAUACUGUAUUUGAUAUGCCUCCUGCUUAUUGCUGCCCUCUUCGACUAGGCCACAUUGGGAAGAGGAGGAGGAGAUUAGUGUUUAAUGUCCGAACAACAACGAGGUCAUUAGAGACAGAGCACAAGAUCGGAUUAGGGGGGGUGGAGAAGGAAUCGGCCACACUAUUUCGAAGGAACCAUCCAAACAUUUGCCUGAAGCAAUCCAGGGAAAUAACAGAUGACCUAAAUGAGGAUGGCCGGAUGCAGGUUUGAACCAUUGUCAUCCGAAUGAGAGUCCAGUGUGCUAACCACUGUAUCACCUCACUUGGUAUGCUACACUGAGUAUUAUGAAUUGAAACUUGGAGAGACACUGUAUCCAGGUAUGUGUGUCAUUAUUUUCUGAAUGUCAAGUAGUUUUUCCAUUGUCAUCUUCUGAAACCUGAAAGGUACUUAUAAAUAACCCUGUAUAAAUGCAUCCGUUGUUUAUUGGUGUGUACACUUCUCAGUACCAGCUAAUAACAUAAUGGCUAAACCAAAGAAAAACUUUACUGAAGGGGAAUGAUAUUCCACUUUUGAUUUUUUGAACUGAAACAAAUAAAGACUUACAUACAUACACCAGUAAAGAAAGAAUAUAAUUUAUUUUAAAACUGUAUCAUAUUGUUACUUUUUCCCUCAGUAGAUGUUGCAAUGAACAGUUUGACAAGUUAAGUGUAUGUGUCAGUGUUAGACUGAUACCCAAGAUCAAGUUUUUGUGGGGAAUAUGAUACCAUUUGAGCACACUUCACAGGCUGGCCCCAAGCUUCUACAACCAGAGGCUUCUACAGAUUCCUUUUAAACUCCAUAUAAGUUUUACACAAACAUAAAAGACUAACACCCUUAUGAUGAAGGUACAGGAGAGUCUUUGACUUAAUUGUAACAAAGGAAAUUUCAAGUGAGAAAGCUAAUAAAUUAUGAGAUAGAACUGCUGCUCAGUUCUUAGCUUCAUGCAGCAAAAUGCAUAGUAUUGCUGAUAAACACAUACAUAAAAGUAUAGCUUUCAGAACUGACAGACAAUAUUAGUUCCAAAAGUUAGGGGGUGUCUCACUUGUACUUCUGUGUGUGUCUACCAGCAGUUCUGCACAUUUCACCUCAUGAAGGUGACUAAUGACCUGCAAUUCUGUCUCAGAAUUUAAGAGACUGAUUUUAUAACAUCCUCAGUGACAUUCCUAAGAUGACAUAGUUUUACUGGUUAGUAGAGUAAUGAAAAGUUAUAACAAGCCAAGGUAUGGAGAGAACUAACAGUGAGGCAGUGAGUGAAUCGGUUCAUGAGGUGCGCUCAGGGCUCUGGGUGUGAGCCUCAUGUGGCACACCUUUCUUUGAUUGUUACAAAUGUUCAAGGACUUUAGAACUUUUUGAAGAGAUUAUUUAAAAAGAAGCAUUGCAAUACAGUGUUAUUCAUGAGUACGUCUGCAGUUUUAGAAAACAAUUACUGGAGGACUACAAGACAUACACAAAACAGAAACAUUCCAAUGGAUCCAGCACAUCCCCAAGUUUUAAUUCAUAUUACAGACACUCAACAUAUGCACCAUUUGUGAUGCAGCAAAGAUCAAUAUGUGCGUACAAUUAAUUGAACUGUCUGCCACUGCCUGGGAAGACACAAUGACAGUGGCCCAUUUUAGGAAAUCUGUCCAUUGUGUUGCCUCUGAGCAGGUGCCACUAGUUCAGUAUGACAAUAUUUGCCUGCAUGUCCUGACAUGCCUGCCCUCUAGAGGUGCAACUGUACCACAGCAUCUGUUAUGUAUGAAGCUCGGAGAGAUGCUCUGUCCAAUGAUGGGUGCCAUUUUUUCCAUGUCGUGUAGCUUUUGCACAUUCAUCUUCUGAAAUCCUGAAGGUUGUUAUGAAUAACACUAUAUCAAUAACAAGAUGUUUGUUGCAAAGAAGAAGCAAUGAAUAAUGAUAGAUAAGGGAAGUAAAAUAAAAAAAAAGAAGUUUAGGAAAAAGAGGAAGAAAUAAAUUUUCAGAUAAAGAAAAGAACAGCAGAAUGGAAAACAAAACUGAAGCAGUUAAAGUUCUGGAAAUUGUUUCACUAUAAAAUAUAGUAGAACAAUGUCACAAUACUGAGGGACGAGAGGAAGAUGCCAGACAUACUAGAAAAUACAGGAGAACUGAAGAAAGUGUUUAGCUAUUCAUUAGCAUCCUAGAAAGAAUAUGUAGGAAAGAGCUGGUAGAAUGUAAAUAAUUUUGGGAGUAAAGGAGAUCACUUACUGAAUAGCAGUAGCAUGGGGUCUUUCACAGGCAUACAUAAAAGAGAAAAAAACUACUAUUUUUCAGAAUCAAUCAUAAACCAGAAUACACACACACACACACACACACACACACACAUACACACACACACACACAGUACCACCUGGGCACACAGUGUGCAUCUAACCAUCACUACAU
Molecule: unclassified non-coding RNA, 4226 nt
Filed under: Schistocerca americana (American grasshopper)
Lineage: Eukaryota; Metazoa; Arthropoda; Insecta; Orthoptera; Acrididae
Description: carbohydrate sulfotransferase 8-like, transcript variant X3
Source: RNAcentral